AGAAUUCAUUCAGGUCUAUAGUCUUGAGUCAACAACAGAUUCUUCAUUCAAGUCAAUAGUCUUCUCAGAAAAUGAGGUGGUGUUAAGUUACAUUAUAAUGUAAGUUAACAAGGUCUCUGAAAAUGAUUUUGUAAUUAUCAUUGGUAUUGAGGAUAUAUUGUUAAGUCUAGCCUCUUGUGUUUUAUAUUCUGCAUUGGAGUAGCUAAACCUUGUCCUUCUCAACAAGUCUUCGUUCAGGUAAAUAUGCCUUUGGAAAAGAAAUUUCUUGGUAGUCUUUUUAAAUUAUCGUUAAAAAAAUAGAAGUUUUUUUAAUAGAAUUUUUAGAUUCACGUGGAUAGAGACUUAAAUAAUGAAUGCAAUUUAUCGGCUGUUUUAAUCAAGCGAGAGCAACUGCCCCCACUUGCCUAAUACUAGCUCCAUCCUUUUAAAUAAUCAAUUAGACAAAAAUGUAGUUAGGCACAUGUUUGGUAAACUAUAAGUAUUAACAAUUUGGCAAUAUUAUUCAUGCUGGUUGAUUAAGAGAAAAGACUCUUAAAAUUACACCCAUCAUUUAAGCUUAUGCCCCCAUAAACUGAAUUGAAAUGCACUCACAAAUUAAAUUUUCCACUUAAUUGUUCGUAUCUAUUUUUCAUUUCGAAUUAUCAUUAUGUUUCUCAAAAGAUUUGUUUCUUAGCCAAAAAAAAAAAAAAAAAGAAUUAUGUUUCUCAAAAGAUCAAUAGUACUUUAUUUUUCUCAUUUAUAGACAAAAACGUCGUAUGACUUCAUAUUGUUUAUAGGUGAACAUAAUUGGAUGAGGCUGCUGUCCUGUUUUACACAUACCAGAAUUCGGUCUGAUUUCAGGACGAGACUGAGCGUGGCUGCAAGCCAAUGCUGGAUUUUCGGUUUUCAACGGAGCUGUGAGCUUUUCCAUGCUUUUUCUGUGUCAUCUUUCCUAUUAUAUAAACCUGCAAUAUCUUUGUUAUUUUUAGGUUAAGCAUCUGGAGCUCGUCAAAUUUAAAUUUGCUUUUUCUGAGUGUCUUCGUGCUAUUUCUUCACCACUUGCCUUAUUGUAUCUGUCAUCUAGUUUGGUUCUGAUCUUGACGCUGCAAAAAUUCUAAUACUCUCUGUUGAAAAUUAAUAAUCCAAUUUCUCUAAAUGUUUUCGUGUUGACACACUUUAUGGAUUUUGUGAUACAAUUGCAUGCACUUCUCUUUUGUAGUUUGUAUGAAAGUUAGUGAUUUAAUCUAGUGCGUCAAGGAUGGAGUUAUAAAACUAAAGCUGAAAGAAAACCUUUUUUGUUUAACUGUGUAUUGGUUCUCAGUUUGGAGUAUAAUCUUAAGUCAAACAUAUUAUAUAUAUAAAUAUUUUUAGGAGCAUCUGAAAAAAUUUCUUGACCAAUUGAGUGGAUUUUAAAAAGUAGCAGUAGCUGCAGCAACAGGAGCUUAAUAUGCAAUAGCAAUCCAAUCCAAUGGCUUCAUUGACUUUCUGCCUGCUCUGUGGCUUUUGAUAAUUUCCAACAACCUAUAAGAGUACAAGCUAUAUUCCUAAUUCCAGCAGCCCCUUAAAUCAGAAAAUACAUGCCUUUGACAUAUAUACACCAUAAUUUGAGAAAUAUAGAAGAGAGAAAUUUUGAAGAAUGGGAAAAUAAUGAAAAGGUGAAAAGAUGAGAGAUGAUAGAAGAAAGAUGGUUUCUGUGAAAAUACAUGCCUUAAAAGUACUUACAUGCCUUUUAACCCUUUAAUAAAAUGGUUAUUAAUUGUCUUCUUAAUAAAUAUACUUGUCUCCAUACUUUUUUGCAAUUUAUUGAGUUAAAAUGUCAUAUAUUCUGUCGUAUAAAGAUCAUAAUAUUAUCUAUUUAAGAUAUGAUGAUGCCAUAUUCAAAUCGGAUGAGGCUGCUGUCAUGGAUUAACACACAUUAUUUUUCUUAUGCGACUUUCAGAAGUGAUUGGUAUGGCUGCAAGCGCAUAUUGCAGAGGAGGAUAAGUUCCUCAAUUAUUUUAAAUAGUUUUUGAUAGAAAUACUUAAUUAGUAACUUGUAAUUAAUUCCAAUGAAAAUUUAUUGUUUAACAGUUAAGAUGAGCAGGGUGUUUGAAGAAUUCAGCUUGGGGUUCAAUCAAAUAUCUGAAUGGAGACUUGAUGACAGGAGACUUGUAAUUCAAAAUACUGCAACUUAUGAAUUCAGAAGAGG
Molecule: long non-coding RNA, 2167 nt
Filed under: Citrus maxima (pomelo)
Lineage: Eukaryota; Viridiplantae; Streptophyta; Magnoliopsida; Sapindales; Rutaceae
Description: long non-coding RNA (CMAX_LNC002854)
Source: RNAcentral